GGCUUAUUGAAUAUUAUUUUAGGUCUUGCCUGCCCACUGAGGGGAUUGAAUGGCCGCGGUAUUUUGACCGUGCUAAGGUAGCAUAAUCAUUAGUUUUUUAAUUGAAAGCUGGAAUGAAGGGUUUGAUGAAGGAGUGACUGUCUCUGGUUGAAUUAUUUAGAAUUUUAUUUUUAAGUUAAAAAGCUUAGAUUUUCAUAAAAGACGAGAAGACCCUAUAGAGUUUUAUAGAUAAAUGUAGGCCUUAAGUUUAGGUUUGUUAGAUUAAGUUUUACUUACUAUUUAUUUGAUUGGGGUGAUAGGAAAAUUUGGUAAACUUUUCUUUAUGGGAAUAUUGAUUUGUAGAUUUAUGAUCCUAUGAUUAGAUUAUAAGAUUGAAUUACCUUAGGGAUAACAGCGUAAUUUUUUUUAGAGUUCUUAUCGAAAAAAUAGAUUGCGACCUCGAUGUUGGAUUAAAAUUGAUUAUUGGUGAAGAAGCUAAUAAGUUAGGUCUGUUCGACCUUUAUAAUUUUACAUGAUCUGAGUUUAAACCGGUGUGAG
RNAcentral lists this ribosomal RNA (537 nucleotides) under Trigonopterus sp. 649 AR-2022a. Its description in RNAcentral is "partial large subunit ribosomal RNA". It matches the Rfam family "Bacterial large subunit ribosomal RNA", at positions 1825 to 2625 of the family's 2925-position model. Lineage: Eukaryota; Metazoa; Arthropoda; Insecta; Coleoptera; Curculionidae. The record is from RNAcentral.